RNAcentral lists this long non-coding RNA (1642 nucleotides) under Anser brachyrhynchus (Pink-footed goose). RNAcentral describes it as "lncRNA (ENSABRG00000015716.1)". Lineage: Eukaryota; Metazoa; Chordata; Aves; Anseriformes; Anatidae. The record is from RNAcentral.
AUGGGCCACCAAUGGAUGGCAGCAGGAGCCUCCUCCCAUCACUGCGUCCCAGGAGAUGCGGCUCCCGCUCAGCCCUGGCCCUCUCGCAGAACAACGAGCACCCCUCGCUCCUCUCUCGGCUGCACGCAGAGCCUGCAGCCGGGCUGGCAGGAGACACCUCAGGAGGAGACACACGGCCCUGCACCAUUCAGGGCAGCUUUGCUGAGUAGCGGUUGCAGCGAGUGUGCUGCAGAAGGACGCCCCGGAGAGAGGGCACGUGGCCUCUUUUGGUGCUGGUGUCACCGCCGCCCCUUCCCCAGCCCGAACUCUCCCUGGUCACAGCACGCCAGCCCAUGCCCCUGCCUCGCCUGUGUCUCUGUGCAGCUGCCUGGGAGCAGGCUGGCCGCGAGGGAUGCGCUGCAGGAGGCCGGCCAGUGUCUGGCACGGGGACAGGAGCAUUGUCUGCCCGAGGAGGAAGGUGCCGAGCCUUUCCUCUUCCCCGCCCCGCUUCCCACAGCCCUCAUCCGACAGGAUGGGCGAAGGCGAUGCAGCCUUCCCCCGCCAUGCGACAGCAGCGGGUGUGCAGUCACCUGCCCUCCUCCUCCUCCUCUUCCUCCCAGCACUACUCCAGCCCUGGAGCACCCGCAGGGCCGGAGGCGAUGAAUUAAGCUGGACGGCCUCUGUGAGUCACGAGCACAGGGAGCGCGGCCGGGUGAAGCACAGUGGAUGCUGAGUGCCAGACUCUUCCUUUGGGGACAGUCUUCAGGUGGAAAUGACUUGUUCUGGGGGGCUGCGUGGCAGGAGCAUGGCAUUCGAGGACUUGUCACCCCUUGUCAUCGUGGGGGAGCUCCCGCAGCACCUUGUGCUCCAGCGGAGGAGCGGGGCUGCCCCGAGCCCUCCCUGCAGGUUCCCCAACUGCUCCCCGGAGGUGGCCAUGCUCAGGCACCUCGGGUGCGACGGCAGCUCGAGGCAGGGGACCGUGCAGCAACGCCACCAUCGCUGCUGGGCGCCUGUUUCCAAGGCUCUCUUGCGGUGCAGCCAAAAACCAGCAGCUCUUUUGGGCUGUCUUCAGGCUGCCCCCUCCCUGCUCGGCUCGCCGGGAGUUGGGCACCUCCAGGGCAAUCCCCGUGCCCGGCCGAGGCAGGGGCUGCAGCCGGAGGCUCGGUGGCGAUGCGGGUGCCUGGGCGAGCCCCAGGGUGAUGCCAGGGACGUGCCCGCUCCCGCCGGGGCUGCCCACCCGGGUCUGGGAUCCGGGGCCCUCUGCCCCUAAAUCCGAUCACCGCCAGCAAGCCUGUUUCCAUGGAAACCGCACAGUGACUCAGGACUUUGGGACCAGCUGGAAAACACAACUGUGAGCAGCAGGCGCCCGGGGAGGCUUCGGGGGUCUCGGGGCGAGGCGGAGGGGCAAGGAGUGCAGGGAGCGGGGCACGGCUGCCUGCCCGCCCCUGUGCCCGGGCACGCUCCCGCCGGUGCAGGGGGGCACGUUGGGACACAGGGCGAGGGGAUCCCAGGAGCCAGGAGCCAAAACCCCUCUCCUGACACCCGCGCUGCUGCAGCAGACAAGUCCGCGCUGCAGCACGCUCGGCAGAGAGCAGAUCCCAAAACACGCCUGGCUGCAGGCAGCCCCCAGCCCCCCGGGGAUGGGGACCCACACGUGCGUGGG